UGAAUAAAUAAAGGCAACAGUAGUAUACCGCUGUUCAAAACUCAUAAAUCCAUGGACAAAAAACAAAAUCGGGGUAACAAACUAAAACCGAGGGAAACGCAUUAAAUAUAAGAGGAGAACAACGACAUAACACCGAAACGUAACACACACAGAAACGGACCAAGCAUCAGACAAAACACAAAUAUAACAUGAAAACCAAAUACAUGAAUUUGGGAUAGACAAGUACCGUGCCACGUCUUAUCUCAAUAUCUCAAAAAUAAGAGAAAACACAAACGACUUAACGUUAAAAUGCAACACACACAGAAACGAACAAUAAUAUAACAAUGGCCAUCUUCCUGACUUGGUACAGGACACUUUUCACGGGGAAUAAAAGUGGUGGGUUGAACCUGGUUUUGUGGCAUGCCAAACCUCGCACUUUAAUGGCAAAGUUAAAUAUAACAUUGAAAUGACAACAUAAUAUUACAGGACUACAAUACAAAUAAAUAGGAGAACAUAUUAGACAAAGAAAAACAUGAUUAAUAGAUAACAAAAAGCAUCAGGUUUAAAAUUCAAUACGCC
This 558-nucleotide long non-coding RNA is filed under the name Mytilus galloprovincialis (Mediterranean mussel). Lineage: Eukaryota; Metazoa; Mollusca; Bivalvia; Mytilida; Mytilidae. The record is from RNAcentral.